This is a long non-coding RNA of Dromaius novaehollandiae (emu), 977 nucleotides long. RefSeq lists it as uncharacterized. The record is from RefSeq and is a predicted model, not a curated record. NCBI's taxonomy places the organism in Eukaryota, Metazoa, Chordata, Aves, Casuariiformes, Dromaiidae. The transcript is spliced from 3 exons.
CUCAGUUCCAAGUCCUACUGCUAUAAUCAUUUUAACAGCAUGUUCUUACGGAGUGAGGACUCAAAAGAUAACAGAUUAUUCUCUGGGGUUAUUUAAAGCCUUUGGCUUAUAUCUAAAAGGGACACUGAAUUCUUAAACCUAGCAGCACUAAUAAAUUCCUAAAAAUGAAAGGAUAUUGGAGUCUACUGGAAGUGAAAUAAUGGAGUUUAUUUUGGCUGACUUCUCUGAGAGGGUGAGGUGAUUAGUACAGACAACGUACCAGAACAUGCAAGAUGUCUUGCUUUCUCCAGAGCCUGAGGAGUCAUGGGGUGAACCAGACCCCGCUAAGAAAGCCUUUACAUGAGCAAAGAGAAGAGGGAGAAGACAGAACCCAAACAUAAACUGAAUGCCCUGGUUCCCUUACGAUUUCAUCCAGGAUGGGUCUAAUACCACAUGGAGCAGAAUGCUUUUGGAAUGGUACAGCAACACUCAACAACAUGCAAUGCUGUCGAAAGGCACAAAGAAAAGUCUAGGGCAUGAAAGCCCCAGGAGUGAGUCCCACUGAGCGCCUGGCUGCUGAUGGGUAAAACACUCUUCAGUGCUCACUGCGACUGCAGGCAUCCAGUGCGCAGCAGAGACUGAGAGCAGCGCGGGGCUGUCGGGAUCUCAAGGCCCUAGGGGUAAGGUGCAGGACUAGCCCAUAGCCGAGUAGCUACACAUUCAGGAGCACCAAGCGCCCAGCUACUGCACCUAUACUGGCAAUAAAACUCUUCAUCAAUCACUCAUACAGUUUUCUGUGUGAAACAGCAUGGUAGCGUAUAUCUGACUUUAAAUAACAUAUUAUAUCCAAAAUCCACAUACCAAUUUUCACAUGUUCCUACAUGCACAUAUAUUGUCUGUUUUAAAAUAAUGUUCCUCAUUGCUAUUUUCCUCUAUAAAAUUGUGUAUAUAUACACAAUAUAUAAAAACUUUAUAACUAAAAACAAUUAUAAAAACUA